AAAUGGUGUUUUUCAAAAAGUUAUUGCGUUUUUAAAAACGUCAUUUGAAAUGGCGAGUUUAUUUUUUUUCAUCAUUCACGUGAAAAAGAGGUGGUGAUGUGGACACUAUAAAACGUCAUUUCAAAUAAUAUUUUAUCGUAUUUGAAUUAGUUUGAUAAAUAAAUUAAAAUUUAUAUUAUUUUUAUAAAUAAUUUUUUUAAAAUUAUUUCGGUGAAGGACUCAUGUUUAUCGGA
This 233-nucleotide long non-coding RNA is filed under the name Elaeis guineensis (African oil palm). RNAcentral's name for it is "long non-coding RNA (EGUI_LNC072282)". The record is from RNAcentral. Lineage: Eukaryota; Viridiplantae; Streptophyta; Magnoliopsida; Arecales; Arecaceae.